Styela clava is the source of this 330-nucleotide long non-coding RNA. RefSeq lists it as uncharacterized. NCBI's taxonomy places the organism in Eukaryota, Metazoa, Chordata, Ascidiacea, Stolidobranchia, Styelidae. The record is from RefSeq and is a predicted model, not a curated record.
CUCACAUUCAGUUGGAUUGGGCGGACCCUCGCUUCGGUCGUUUGUAGCUUCAAUACUUUCUAUCGACUUUCCUGGUCGUUUGCGUGCGACAUUCAAAGGAAGAAAUGGAAAUUAUGCAGAUAUUAUUGUGCUCUACAAUAUUUGGCAUACAAGAUGGAAAGGAAGAAUUGGAAAUGAUAAAGAGAAUAGCGAACUGCUGAAUUUCAGACACAACAAUGAAUCUGGAAGAUUGUACAAGAUAAGUACGCGUUGUUUGAAUUAGAUCAGAUUUCAAGUAUAAGUAUUUUAAUCUAGAAAUUUUUUUUAGUCUGAUUAGCGAUAGAUGCUUAA